CACCGUGAUUCGUCUCGGCCAAGCUGCGAGCCGUUUUUCAAUGUCACCUGCGAGAAAGGAGGCAGCCUGGGCUGCUGGUCGUGCGAGAUGAUCCAGAUGUGUACUCCAGAGGCAGCCGGCUGCUAUUUCCACUCCAUGGACAACAUCACUUACUGUGGCUUUUGAGAGCAAACAAACACCCUAUAGGAUUAUUGUUUACAGUGGCUGGAAGUUCUCUUCUUUCCAUUGUAAUAGUUCGAGCAAGAAAGGCACGAAGGUCCUUGAAGUUAA
Long non-coding RNA from Selaginella moellendorffii, 270 nucleotides. RefSeq lists it as uncharacterized. The transcript has 2 exons. NCBI's taxonomy places the organism in Eukaryota, Viridiplantae, Streptophyta, Lycopodiopsida, Selaginellales, Selaginellaceae. The record is from RefSeq and is a predicted model, not a curated record.